AGAGUUUGAUCCUGGCUCAGAACGAACGCUGGCGGCAGGCCUAACACAUGCAAGUCGAGCGAGAAGCCACCUUCGGGUGGGGGACAGCGGCAGACGGGUGAGUAACGCGUGGGAACGUACCCUUUGGUUCGGGACAACUCCGGGAAACUGGAGCUAAUACCGGAUAAGCCCCUCGGGGGAAAGAUUUAUCGCCGAAGGAUCGGCCCGCGUCUGAUUAGCUUGUUGGUGAGGUAAAGGCUCACCAAGGCUACGAUCAGUAGCUGGUCUGAGAGGAUGAUCAGCCACACUGGGACUGAGACACGGCCCAGACUCCUACGGGAGGCAGCAGUGGGGAAUAUUGGACAAUGGGCGCAAGCCUGAUCCAGCCAUGCCGCGUGAGUGAUGAAGGCCCUAGGGUUGUAAAGCUCUUUCGGCGGGGACGAUAAUGACGGUACCCGCAGAAGAAGCCCCGGCUAACUUCGUGCCAGCAGCCGCGGUAAUACGAAGGGGGCUAGCGUUGUUCGGAAUUACUGGGCGUAAAGCGCACGUAGGCGGAUCGUUUAGUUGGGGGUGAGAUCCCGAGGCUUAACCUCGGAACUGCCUCCAAUACUGGCGAUCUUGAGUCCGAGAGAGGUGAGUGGAACUCCGAGUGUAGAGGUGAAAUUCGUAGAUAUUCGGAAGAACACCAGUGGCGAAGGCGGCUCACUGGCUCGGUACUGA
RNAcentral lists this ribosomal RNA (699 nucleotides) under uncultured bacterium. RNAcentral describes it as "bacterial SSU rRNA". It matches the Rfam family "Bacterial small subunit ribosomal RNA", at positions 8 to 743 of the family's 1533-position model. The record is from RNAcentral.